Nematostella vectensis (starlet sea anemone) is the source of this 948-nucleotide long non-coding RNA. RefSeq lists it as uncharacterized. The transcript is spliced from 2 exons. The record is from RefSeq and is a predicted model, not a curated record. Lineage: Eukaryota; Metazoa; Cnidaria; Anthozoa; Actiniaria; Edwardsiidae.
CGGAACAUUUGAUGCGCUUUCAUAUUCUAACUUAUUAUAAACAAUUAAUAGCUGUGGCAAACAGAGUCUUGUAGAAUAGUAUAAAAUGUCGUGACAAAGAUUAUGGCAAUUUUAAAACAACUAACCACGAAACCAAACAAGCCACCUUCAAAAACAUUCCACUUGGCUUUGGUGUUCGCUAGCUGCAAUAAUUACCGAGUGCAAAUUACAGGCGGAAAGUUGAAGUGCAUAAGACGUGGCUAGUGAAGUAGAUCAGAAUCACGAAUGGACUGACACAUCAGUUCACUACUUCGUAAUGCGCAGGGAGUAAGUCUUUAAUUCCACCCCACCCCCAUCUAGGGAACGGCCAAGCUAAUCAUUUCAUCAGCUUUUCGGUUAACUCUAAUGUCACACAAAUCCGUCACUCCAUGUUUUAUCACUACGUUAAAUCGUAUCAUUCAUAAUCUUUCAGAUUUUAGGAAUCAUAAAGCACCAGGGUAAGUAUGAAGUAUGAUUUAUCCGACAUUUUUCUUUGAUAACCAAAAAGCGGUCGAUUACCUGGAAGGAUGACGAAUGCUAGAAGAAGAAGACGAAGAACAUGUCUCGUCGGCAAUAUCAAGAUCUCCAUGCCUGUGUGUGUUACCCCCUUGGCGCGGACGGCUUAACUCUUCAUCGUGUUUGCUCGCUCAUCAAGACAAGCACGUCGUUCGCUGUGACAGUGUUUAAAGUACGAUUUGAUGUUUGACUGGACGAACGCAGUCUGACGUAAUUAACUAAUCCCGAUUCACCAAUGUGUGCAUCCUCGCGCUUUCCGUGUCACCACCAAAUAAUCAACAAAUGGUUCCGCAUGAAUGACUUACUACGCGUUUUUAAGUUACCACUGAGACGGUGGGGGGAGGGGUGAGACGACGCGGGGGAGAAGGGACAGUCGUACAAGUUGUCAUGGAAUUGAAUAAAAAACUGUGGUAA